RNAcentral lists this ribosomal RNA (253 nucleotides) under uncultured bacterium. RNAcentral describes it as "partial 16S ribosomal RNA". It matches the Rfam family "Bacterial small subunit ribosomal RNA", at positions 524 to 776 of the family's 1533-position model. The record is from RNAcentral.
UACGUAGGGGGCAAGCGUUGUCCGGAUUCAUUGGGCGUAAAGAGCGUGUAGGCGGCCAGGUAGGUCGGUUGUGAAAACUGGAGGCUCAACCUUCAGACGUCGACCGAAACCCCCUGGCUAGAGUCCGGGAGAGGAGAGUGGAAUUCCUGGUGUAGCGGUGAAAUGCGCAGAUAUCAGGAAGAACACCCGUGGCGAAAGCGGCUCUCUGGAACGGUACUGACGCUGAGGUGCGAAAGCUAGGGUAGCAAACGGG